RNAcentral lists this ribosomal RNA (495 nucleotides) under uncultured bacterium. RNAcentral's name for it is "partial 16S ribosomal RNA". It matches the Rfam family "Bacterial small subunit ribosomal RNA", at positions 28 to 507 of the family's 1533-position model. The record is from RNAcentral.
GACGAACGCUGGCGGCGUGCCUAAUACAUGCAAGUAGAACGCUGAAGGAGGAGCUUGCUUCUCUGGAUGAGUUGCGAACGGGUGAGUAACGCGUAGGUAACCUGCCUGGUAGCGGGGGAUAACUAUUGGAAACGAUAGCUAAUACCGCAUAAUAGUAGAUGUUGCAUGACAUUUGCCUAAAAGGUGCAAUUGCAUCACUACCAGGUGGACCUGCGUUGUAUUAGCUAGUUGGUGGGGUAACGGCUCACCAAGGCGACGAUACAUAGCCGACCUGAGAGGGUGAUCGGCCACACUGGGACUGAGACACGGUCCAGACUCCUACGGGAGGCAGCAGUAGGGAAUCUUCGGCAAUGGACGGAAGUCUGACCGAGCAACGCCGCGUGAGUGAAGAAGGUUUUCGGAUCGUAAAGCUCUGUUGUAAGAGAAGAACGAGUGUGAGAGUGGAAAGUUCACACUGUGACGGUAUCUUACCAGAAAGGGACGGCUAACUACGUG